RNAcentral lists this unclassified non-coding RNA (205 nucleotides) under Zygosaccharomyces bailii. RNAcentral's name for it is "partial RNase P RNA". It matches the Rfam family "Nuclear RNase P", at positions 72 to 262 of the family's 301-position model. From Rfam's summary of the family: Ribonuclease P (RNase P) is a ubiquitous endoribonuclease, found in archaea, bacteria and eukarya as well as chloroplasts and mitochondria. Lineage: Eukaryota; Fungi; Ascomycota; Saccharomycetes; Saccharomycetales; Saccharomycetaceae. The record is from RNAcentral.
GAACACUGUGGGACACUAUGCCGACCCGCUGACUUUCUCGGUCAACGGGCCGUUUCCGUGAGGAAAGUCUGGGGAACUAGGCUUGCAGCUGCUGUCACAAGAAAUCAACGCUCACAGUAGCGGAUGGGAAGACAGCAGAGUUCCAUUUAGCUUGAACACAACGUUGAUUGUUUAAGGCUUGUUGAGUGCAAUCGUAGGACAAGAA